CAUCAACAGCGUCAGGAGUCAGAGAGGAACUUUCUGAAAUCUGCAGAGGAGGAGGAGGAGGAGGAAGACGGAGUCUCCUUUCGGCUUGGAAGUGCUGAUCCAAAGCCUGAUAAAUGUUCGGGAGAAGGAGGUUUUUGUCGUUUCCUUUGGUUAUCGGAGCUGUUGUGAUUGGGGUCGUCUCUGGAAAAGCUAUUUUUGGACCUCCACUUGAUGACUACUGGAAGAAGAAACUUAAAGAAGAGGCGGCAGCAAAAGAGAAUAAGCAAGCUUCUCAUAGCUGAUGAUAUAAUCUCCUCAAAAGUAUACAAGGCCAUGAUAUUGUGAUUCAUCCAAGUCUCCUAAGAACUGAUAACAGCAACGAAUGUUGCCUUCGGGAGGCAGUUUGCCCAUCAACUUCUUUUAGGGAUACCAGUAUCUGCCAUCUGGUUAUGGUUUUGGCGGACCCGUUCAACUCCAGAAGUUUGUGUUACAAAAUGAAUCAUGUCAUUGGUAUCUAGGAUUCAAGGUGUUUUAUUGUUUUUCAUUUGCUUUAAGCUUGAUUCUACUAUGGCCAAACAUAUGUAGAAGAUUUAUAUGCAAUUGAGGAGUUUCUUAGUGUAUCAGAAACGAAUUGUACUUCACAUUUAAGAUUAUAAUAUCCAAGUUAACGAUUUCAGAAGCUGGCAACAGCUCAA
This is a long non-coding RNA of Coffea eugenioides, 674 nucleotides long. RefSeq lists it as uncharacterized. The transcript is spliced from 2 exons. The record is from RefSeq and is a predicted model, not a curated record. NCBI's taxonomy places the organism in Eukaryota, Viridiplantae, Streptophyta, Magnoliopsida, Gentianales, Rubiaceae.